Long non-coding RNA from Mus musculus (house mouse), 314 nucleotides. RefSeq annotates it as predicted gene, 33289. Lineage: Eukaryota; Metazoa; Chordata; Mammalia; Rodentia; Muridae. The transcript is spliced from 3 exons. The record is from RefSeq and is a predicted model, not a curated record.
UGGAACCUUCUUCCUCCUCACUCUCCCUGAUCUUCUCAACGGUUGCUUCUCCUGUCGUUUACAGCUCCACGUUGAAGACACAUUAAAAGCUGCCUACCACAAAAUGCAACCCUGCUCCAAACCAUGCCAUCAAGCAAGACAGCAAUUCUGGUGUAUCACUGCAUUGCAGUUCAUUGUUUUAAUGGCAGCUUGUUUAUCUCUGUAGUACUCACAGUGCUUCAGAGAUUGCACUUGGCCUGAGUAUGAAGCAUGAACAAGACAGACAGACAGCCUCGUCCUUCAGAACAAGACAGACAGCCUUGUCCUUCAUGAAG